CUGUCAGCUUUAACACACAUUGAAUAUUACUGUACGUCUAUUGUGGGAUAGAUUGUCUGGUUGUUAUGUUAUUUAUUUGUAGUUUAUGCUGUCGGCCUGUUCAACAUUUGCAGAUUUUCAUUGUUAGUUGUUCUAUUGCCAGUUUUGCUAAUUAUUGUAACACAUUUAUCUGUUCUAAGAUUACAGAUUGUCAUCUUGUACAGUAUUUAUUUAUACAGUAGCUGUGAAAUAUUAUUUGUUACUGUUAGAACAGAACCAGACUGGAGACAAUGGUAGAUGAAACUGCAACAGAAGUGAAGUUUAAUAUCUUAAACUAAUUUCGAGAGGAGUACGUGCUCAUGAUUAACCCAGCUGGCUCAUAUUAGCUAAUCACAACCCUCCAAUCAAAGCCACAUAAGUUCCUAUAUAUAUAUAUAUAUAUAUCCUCUUUUCUCUUUGCAACUAUCUUCGUCUUGAAGAACCCGGGACAGUCCCGGGACAGCAUGCCAAACAAGCUUCGUAAGUCAUGAGCUAAGUAUAAACUUUUGAAAUGUAUAAAUAUGAAUUAAAGACUUGACAUCUUUCUAUUGUAUUUUGCAGUUUGGAAAGAACCACAUGGAGAAAAAGGGAAUCACACAGCUCAGCAACAACUGGAUGGUCAGGAAUUUAUUUUUUAAAAAUUAGAUUGACGAGUGAAUUGAUGAACGUCCUUCCAAGAUGAAGGAGUGGUGGUUGAUAUAGAUAGAUGGUUAAUUAGGCCUUGUCUGAGUCAGCUUUUCUUUUUUAGGUAAUGGAGAGAGAGCAGGCAGAAGAGGAAGACUUACAAGAGCAUCGGUGGACAUUUACCUAAAAAAUGCUGGAGGACUCUGUCAUUGCUGUCUAUAGGUUGGAGUGGAGCCAAAGAAGGAGACUCACAAGGGGAACAGUGGAGAUAUACUUGAAGACCUGGAGCUCAGGAAGCAGAUUGGCACGGAGCAUGUGGAGGAACAGGGAAACACAUGGAUGGGUGCAUGGAUGGAUGUCCUUCCAAGAGGAAGUGGGUGGUGGCGGGCAUAGAUUGUUUGAUAGAUGUCUUGUCUGUGGCUGUUAUUUACAUUGUAGGUUAUGGAACCACAACAGGCAGAAGAAAUAUUAGAAAUAGACUCACUAGCAGAAUGGUGGAUAUUUAUCUGGAGAACACUGGAGAACACUUUGUUUAUUGCUGGAGAUCAGCCAGCAUGUAGAGCGUUGCUAGUCUUGUUUUUGUCUUUUGCAGAUUAGACUGGGGCGUGUGGAGAAAUGGGAAUUACAUCUCAGCAAUGACUGCAAACUGAUGGUGUGGUUAGGUAUUUCCUGAAUGGAUGGGUGGAUGAAUGAAUGAAAAAUAGAUGUCCUUCCAAGAGAAAGGGGGUGGUGGUGGGCUUAGAUAGUUAGAUAGAUGUCUUGUCUGUGACGGUGUUUCUUUUUCAAGUAAUAGACACACAACAUGCAGAAGAAGGAAACUCACAAGUGCAUAGGUUGAGAUUUAUCUGAAGAAUGCUGGAGAACAGCUUGCAUUUCUGGAGUUUGGCAAGCAUGUAGAGCUCUGUUAGUCGUGUGUUUGUCUUUUACAGACUGGAGUGCAGCAUGUGGAGUAAAAUAUGAGUUACACAUCUCAGCAAAAUAGAUGUCCUUCCAAAAGGAAGGGGGUGGAGGUGGGCAUAGAGAUGUCUUCUCUGUGGCAGUUAUUUAAACUGUACACUGUUAACCCUUGCUGUAGAUUAUGCUGUAAAUAACUGUAAAAUAGCCAGUGUUUUACUGUAAUAAAGGAAACAGUAUUUACUGUAAACAAGUAGGAUUUGUAUGAAAUUGUGUAGUUUAAAGAAUAAAUUAAUUUACUUUAUGUAGCCAUUACAGGUAGUAACUGUGUUCAAUGGUAAAUUACUGUUCAACAAUUACUGACCCAUCUACUCUGAUGCUUUGUGUCUCUUUAUAGACAGUUGUAUUUAUCUUAAGACAGAAAACACACACAUACACAGGCUCUCUGUCGUCUUAUUCUAAACACGUUUAGGUGUUGCUACUUUAAGGGGGCCGGGUGUUUGAUUUGUUUACUUCUGAGUGUGCUCCAUUCUCUGUCAGUUCAGAUGCAGUGAGUAAGUGUGAGAUUACAGUGAGUACGUGUGUAAAUGAGUAAAUGUGUUCAACUAUUCAAAUAUAAAAUAAUGUGUGUGAAUUUAAUCAAAUUGUUGUUAUUAACUGUGUACUUGAAAGCUGCGUUGUUAGCUAGUUAGCAUCUCCUCACAACUUCUUACAUUACUUUUAUUUAAGUAUAUAUAUUAAAUAGGCAACUCAUCUGUAUUGGUUAUGUCAUAAUGUACAGAUGCAAACAGUGUAAUGUGUCUCUGGAAACUAAGCCGUUUUAAUCAUUCAGUUCCAAUCUCCUUAGUUAGGUAACUUUCCUUAGUUAGGUAAAGUCCUCACAGGGAAUCACAAAACUCCACUAUCAGGUCCCAAGUUGUGAAUUUGUUGCUUCUAAUUUUUUCAGAGCUGUGUUUCCACCUGUGAAUUCAUAUUAGGGACAAUAGAAAAGUUUGUU
Danio aesculapii is the source of this 2533-nucleotide long non-coding RNA. RefSeq lists it as uncharacterized. The transcript has 3 exons. NCBI's taxonomy places the organism in Eukaryota, Metazoa, Chordata, Actinopteri, Cypriniformes, Danionidae. The record is from RefSeq and is a predicted model, not a curated record.